GCCUUUAGGCUCUAUCCCCUUUUUUGUCCCUGUUUCGCUGCCUUCAUGCACAGCUUUCGUCAGGGUUUUGGGUACGUCGUUGUAAUCCAUUUGAGUAGGUAACCUUGGUCCAAUUUGUGUAGUGUUCUUGUGUGAUUUUUCGGCUCUUGAUCUGAGCCCUGAUCCAACCGUUUUUGGUGCCAAUGCAAAAAGAAGUGAAAAUGGACUAAAAGUGUGCAAAAUUGUGAAGUUGGGGUCCAAAGUCCAUACACUAAAAAGUUGAGAAGGAUCUUGGAUUGUAAUUUUUGGAGGGCAUGAUUGAUAUAAAAGUCAAAUUUUGAGGGCCAAAUUGUACAAGAUCAAAGUUGAGGGACCUGGUGUGCAAUUAUCUUGGGGUCUUCUGGUUGCCUUCUUCCUCUUUCAUUUUUCUUUUCCUCCUUUUAUUUUGCCAGCUGGUUGCAUGUCUCCACAAUAAAUCAAAGAAAAGGUGGAGAAGAAUUGAUGUACUCAAGAUUUAAGCAAAUCGAACCGAAAAGGGUUUUAUCUUUAAUAUUGAAUUUGUUUUUUUUUUCCUAUCAUUUGUAAUGUAUUGAAUAAAUAUUCUCCUUUGUUAUCAUAUAUAGAAUAUGGGCUAAUUUCUUAUGUUGGGAUUUAUGAUUGUAGUUUAACUUGACUUUAAUUAAUUUUAAUAUUUGCUCUUCAAUGUUAAAAUGCUUAUUUUCAUAUAUAUUUGUUGUUGUGUUCAAUGUCUUUCAUUUAUUUGGCCAUAAAUGAUCGAGUUUAGUGAUUUUUACAUCAUUCAAGAGAAGAUUGUACAUUUUAGAACAAAUAGUAAAUACCCUAGAUUUGUGUAGGAGAUAAAGAUAUGCCCCCUAAGCCUAGAUGUCCCAUUAGGUUAUUUUCACAAAAAAUUAUUGCGGUCGUCUGCUUUUAAUCGACAUAGAAAUAUAAUAAGUUAAACAAAUCAAUUAGGGCUAACUUCGUUGGAGUGAGAUAAAUAACUAAAAUUAGAAGAUCUGGUUGAAUAUCAUAAAUGAGUAAUUCGUUCAUUAGCUUAUGGAAAAAUUAAUUAGGGUUAAAUGAAACCAUGAAUCAAAACCAUAUUUUCCUCCAAAGUUCCCAAGAUUUUCAUGUUUUAUUAUUUUGUAGAUUCGUAGUUAUUUUCCAAAAUCAAAAUCUUUAUUGUGUGCUUGUUUUCAUUAUUAGAAUUAAAUUGAUUAAAAUUGUGUAAUCGAAAGUAAACAUUCUUCCAGGAAUCAACAACUCGCACUCAAAAUGUCCACUUUAUUAAUUAAAUGUGACGAAUGCACUUGGGGUUUGCACUUUCAUAGCGAACAACAAAUACAGUGUAUGAUUAAUUUGGUCAACCUAUUCAUGGAAUAUGGAGGAAAAUGCAUGACAUUAGUACCUGUAAUUAGAUGCUCGGGAGCAGUAUAUCCAUAAGUUCCCUUGACACGAGUUGAGACGUGAGUCUUAUGAUCAGUUGGUCCAUCCCUAGCCAACCCAAAAUCAGAAAUUUUUGCAUUGUAGUUUUGCAAAUCAAAAGCACAAACAGCGAAAUUACAUGUUAAACAAUCAGACGUCCUACGAUAUGAAUAUAAACCAUGAUGAAAUAAUGAAGUGGUCAAAAGUACAAUGCAAAUCUUUCUUGACUAGAGCAAGCAACAUAUACUUACUGAAUCAAGAUAUUAUAAGUCUUGAAGUCUCGAUAUAUUACUUCUGCCUCAGUAUGUGAAGAAAGGCAAGUCCUCUAGCAGCAGCCAGAGCAAUUUUCAUUCUUAGUUUCCAGGAAAGUAGCUCGGAAGUGAGAACCACCUAGUCCGACAUAAAACCAAUUGUCCACGCGAAUUCGACAUCAAGUAAUAUUCAAUGAUAUAUUAUAUUAUGGUACACAUAAAAGGCUACAUUGAACUCAUUCCCAAAUAGAUGAUUCUCCAUGCUACCCUUAGGCAUAAACUUAUAAGCCAAAAGUUUGUGUUCAUCCUCCGAGCAGUAACCAAUUAAAUUCACAAAAUUAGGAUGGUGCAGCUGCCAAAGAUAGUUGAUUUCUGCCUGAAAAUCCAAACCAAAUCUUAUCAAUAUAACGGAAAUAAUCUGUCGGCCUUUCAUGCUCAACAGUCCACCAGUUUUGGAAGAGAUGGUUACCAUACAUCCAAGAGUCUUCCAGCUCUUACAGAAGCUCUUUCAUACUAGUCAAGCAGUAAGUGUGAAACAGAACAAGCUAUUCAGCUAAUUCAUGUUAUAGCCAUCAUAGUUGCAUGCUUGGACUAUAUUAUAAUUGCAGGCAUUAAUAGUCAAAUGCUACUUUAUGCGAGUGCAUAUCACUCAAAAUUAUUUGACAGACAUGCUUAAAUAAAUCUCUAUGCAUUUGUUGGGUAUUUUGAUACCAAUUAAACCUUGGGCCGAUCAUAAAUAAUUAGGACGGAUACUAGAUUCAAUUAUUUUCGUUGGAAACUUAAUAUUGAAUUCACUUAAGUGCUAUUGGGUCAAAAGUCACACUUGGUAGUCCAAGUUACAAAGAAGACUCAUUACCUCUCGACCCAUUACUUAACCUAUUAUAUUACAUAUAUAUAGGUGUGUCGAAUUUGUGUGUGAGACAUAACACUCGACUUCUCCUUUGGCAAUAUUAUUAAUAUGCUACACCUCUCUUGGCCUCUCUCUUUGUGACUGCCUUUUGUCUCUCUCAUCUUUGUGGCUGCCUCCUUUCGUUACUCCUUCUGCCGGCUCUUUACCGGUGAGUUGGGCACCUGUUAUGUGCCUUUAGGCUCUAUCCCCUUUUUUGUCCCUGUUUCGCUGCCUUCAUGCACAGCUUUCGUCAGGGUUUUGGGUACGUCGUUGUAAUCCAUUUGAGUAGGUAACCUUGGUCCAAUUUGUGUAGUGUUCUUGUGUGAUUUUUCGGCUCUUGAUCUGAGCCCUGAUCCAACCGUUUUUGGUGCUAAUUCAUUGGAGCUUGAUAGGAAAGCUUUAUUCUUGUUUUGUUUAGAUUAAUUUCCAUUAUCUAUUGAAUAGGUAACUACCUUGGUGUGGUUAAUUGAUUGACAGGUGAGUUGAUCACUAAAAAUUAUAUCAGAGCCUUAUUUUAAGCUCCUGUAGUGGCUGAUUUUUUCGAUUUCUAUGCUGGAAUUAAUCUGUGUUAAAUUGAACGUGUGUUCAUGGUGCAAUUGAAAUGCAGGUCUGCUGAUUUUUGCAAUAAGGACUUGAAUCCUUAAGUAAUU
RNAcentral lists this long non-coding RNA (3194 nucleotides) under Olea europaea (common olive). Its description in RNAcentral is "long non-coding RNA (OEUR_LNC010461)". Lineage: Eukaryota; Viridiplantae; Streptophyta; Magnoliopsida; Lamiales; Oleaceae. The record is from RNAcentral.